This 243-nucleotide long non-coding RNA is filed under the name Lathyrus oleraceus (garden pea). RNAcentral describes it as "Pisum sativum (pea) long non-coding RNA (PSAT_LNC026103)". Lineage: Eukaryota; Viridiplantae; Streptophyta; Magnoliopsida; Fabales; Fabaceae. The record is from RNAcentral.
CACAUUCCACUUAUUUGAAAUUUUAUAAUGCGUGAUACGAAUCACACUUAAAACAUGAUUCAAAUCAUAAAACCAAAAAUCACACAUUUUUUAAUCGUUUCAGUGUUCCUUUUCCUUUUCCUCUUCCACUCAUUUCUUUUCAUUUCAAAUCACUUUCAAAACUUCCUAUCUCAUUUUUAAACCCCAUUUUCGAAAAUCUCAUCUCACUCAUUCAUUAUCAAUCAUUAUCUCACUUCAUUUGGU